CCUACGGGACGCAGCAGUGGGGAAUAUUGCACAAUGGGCGCAAGCCUGAUGCAGCCAUGCCGCGUGUGUGAAGAAGGCCUUCGGGUUGUAAAGCACUUUCAGCGAGGAGGAAGGUGGUGAGCUUAAUACGCUCAUCAAUUGACGUUACCCGCAGAAGAAGCACCGGCUAACUCCGUGCCAGCAGCCGCGGUAAUACGGAGGGUGCAAGCGUUAAUCGGAAUUACUGGGCGUAAAGCGCACGCAGGCGGUUUGUUAAGUCAGAUGUGAAAUCCCCGGGCUCAACCUGGGAACUGCAUUUGAAACUGGCAAGCUAGAGUCUCGUAGAGGGGGGUAGAAUUCCAGGUGUAGCGGUGAAAUGCGUAGAGAUCUGGAGGAAUACCGGUGGCGAAGGCGGCCCCCUGGACGAAGACUGACGCUCAGGUGCGAAAGCGUGGGGAGCAAACAGGAUUAGAUACCCUCGUAGUC
Molecule: ribosomal RNA, 465 nt
Filed under: uncultured bacterium
Lineage: Bacteria
Description: bacterial SSU rRNA
Rfam family: Bacterial small subunit ribosomal RNA
Source: RNAcentral